UACGAAGGGGGCUAGCGUUGCUCGGAAUUACUGGGCGUAAAGCGCGCGCAGGCGGCUACUUAAGUCUGGUGUUUAAACCUUGGGCUCAACCUGAGGUCGCACUGGAAACUGGGUGGCUUGAGUAAAGAAGAGGAAAGUGGAAUUCCACGUGUAGCGGUGAAAUGCGUAGAGAUGUGGAGGAACACCAGUGGCGAAGGCGACUUUCUGGGCUGUAACUGACGCUGAGGCGCGAAAGCGUGGGGAGCAAACAGG
RNAcentral lists this ribosomal RNA (252 nucleotides) under uncultured bacterium. RNAcentral's name for it is "partial 16S ribosomal RNA". It matches the Rfam family "Bacterial small subunit ribosomal RNA", at positions 524 to 776 of the family's 1533-position model. The record is from RNAcentral.